CAGUCGCCGCGGUAAUACAGAGGGUGCGAGCGUUAAUCGGAUUUACUGGGCGUAAAUCGUGCGUAGGCGGCUUCUUAAGUCGGAUGUGAAAUCCCUGAGCUUAACUUAGGAAUUGCAUUCGAUACUGGGAAGCUAGAGUAUGGGAGAGGAUGGUAGAAUUCCAGGUGUAGCGGUGAAAUGCGUAGAGAUCUGGAGGAAUACCGAUGGCGAAGGCAGCCAUCUGGCCUAAUACUGACGCUGAGGUACGAAAGCAUGGGGAGCAAACAGGAUUAGAUACCCCGGUAGUCCCUGUCUCUUAUAC
RNAcentral lists this ribosomal RNA (301 nucleotides) under uncultured bacterium. Its description in RNAcentral is "partial 16S ribosomal RNA". It matches the Rfam family "Bacterial small subunit ribosomal RNA", at positions 509 to 807 of the family's 1533-position model. The record is from RNAcentral.